Molecule: ribosomal RNA, 254 nt
Filed under: uncultured bacterium
Lineage: Bacteria
Description: partial 16S ribosomal RNA
Rfam family: Bacterial small subunit ribosomal RNA
Source: RNAcentral
UACGUAGGGGGCAAGCGUUGUCCGGAAUCAUUGGGCGUAAAGCGCGUGUAGGCGGCCCGAUAAGUCCGCCGUGAAAGUCCAGGGCUCAACCCUGGGAUGCCGGUGGAAACUGUCGGGCUAGAGUCCGGAAGAGGCGAGUGGAAUUCCUGGUGUAGCGGUGAAAUGCGCAGAUAUCAGGAGGAACACCAAUGGCGAAGGCAGCUCGCUGGGACGGUUACUGACGCUGAGACGCGAAAGCGUGGGGAGCAAACAGG